GAUUGAACGCUGGCGGUAUGCUUAACACAUGCAAGUCGAACGGAAACGAUACUAGCUUGCUAGUAGGCGUCGAGUGGCGGACGGGUGAGUAACGCGUAGGAAUCUGCCUGAUAGUGGGGGAUAGCCCGAAGAAAUUCGGAUUAAUACCGCAUAAUCUAUUCGUAGUAAAGUGGGGGACUUUCGAGCCUCACGCUAUCAGAUGAGCCUGCGUAAGAUUAGCUUGUUGGUAGGGUAAAAGCCUGCCAAGGCGACGAUCUUUAGCUGGUCUGAGAGGAUGAUCAGCCACAUCGGGACUGAGACACGGCCCGAACUCCUACGGGAGGCAGCAGUGGGGAAUAUUGGACAAUGGGGGCAACCCUGAUCCAGCAAUACCGCGUGUGUGAAGAAGGCCUGAGGGUUGUAAAGCACUUUCAAUUGUGAAGAAAAGUUAGCGGUUAAUAACCGUUAGCCUUGACGUUAACUUUAGAAGAAGCACCGGCUAACUCCGUGCCAGCAGCCGCGGUAAUACGGAGGGUGCAAGCGUUAAUCGGAAUUACUGGGCGUAAAGCGUGCGUAGGCGGUUUAUUAAGUCAGAUGUGAAAGCCCCGGGCUUAACCUGGGAACUGCAUUUGAAACUGGUCAACUAGAGUAUGGUAGAGGAAAGUGGAAUUUCUGGUGUAGCGGUGAAAUGCGUAGAUAUCAGAAGGAACAUCAAUGGCGAAGGCAGCUUUCUGGACCAAUACUGACGCUGAGGUACGAAAGCGUGGGUAGCAAACAGGAUUAGAUACCCUGGUAGUCCACGCCGUAAACGAUGAUAACUAGCCGUUGGGGGGAUUUACCCUUUAGUGGCGAAGCUAACGCGUUAAGUUAUCCGCCUGGGGAGUACGGCCGCAAGGUUAAAACUCAAAGGAAUUGACGGGGACCCGCACAAGCGGUGGAGCAUGUGGUUUAAUUCGAUGCAACGCGAAGAACCUUACCUGGUCUUGACAUCCUGCGAACUUUCUAGAAAUAGAUUGGUGCCUUCGGGAACGCAGUGACAGGUGCUGCAUGGCUGUCGUCAGCUCGUGUCGUGAGAUGUUGGGUUAAGUCCCGUAACGAGCGCAACCCCUAUCCUUAUUUGCCAGCACAUCAUGGUGGGAACUAUAAGGAGACUGCCGGUGAUAAACCGGAGGAAGGCGGGGACGACGUCAAGUCAUCAUGGCCCUUACGACCAGGGCUACACACGUGCUACAAUGGGAAGGACAAAGAGCCGCGAAGCCGCGAGGUGUAGCUAAUCUCAUAAACCUUUUCGUAGUCCGGAUUGGAGUCUGCAACUCGACUCCAUGAAGUCGGAAUCGCUAGUAAUCGUAGAUCAGAAUGCUACGGUGAAUACGUUCCCGGGUCUUGUACACACC
This 1373-nucleotide ribosomal RNA is filed under the name uncultured bacterium. Its description in RNAcentral is "bacterial SSU rRNA". It matches the Rfam family "Bacterial small subunit ribosomal RNA", at positions 27 to 1391 of the family's 1533-position model. The record is from RNAcentral.